RNAcentral lists this ribosomal RNA (492 nucleotides) under uncultured bacterium. Its description in RNAcentral is "partial 16S ribosomal RNA". It matches the Rfam family "Bacterial small subunit ribosomal RNA", at positions 29 to 507 of the family's 1533-position model. The record is from RNAcentral.
AGUGAACGCUGGCGGUAGGCCUAACACAUGCAAGUCGAACGGCAGCACGGUAAGAGCUUGCUCUUACGGGUGGCGAGUGGCGGACGGGUGAGGAAUACAUCGGAAUCUACUUUUUCGUGGGGGAUAACGUAGGGAAACUUACGCUAAUACCGCAUACGACCUAUGGGUGAAAGCAGGGGAUCUUCGGACCUUGCGCGAUUGAAUGAGCCGAUGCCGGAUUAGCUAGUUGGCGGGGUAAAGGCCCACCAAGGCGACGAUCCGUAGCUGGUCUGAGAGGAUGAUCAGCCACACUGGAACUGAGACACGGUCCAGACUCCUACGGGAGGCAGCAGUGGGGAAUAUUGGACAAUGGGCGCAAGCCUGAUCCAGCCAUACCGCGUGGGUGAAGAAGGCCUUCGGGUUGUAAAGCCCUUUUGUUGGGAAAGAAAAGCAGCAGGUUAAUACCCCGCUGUUCUGACGGUACCCAAAGAAUAAGCACCGGCUAACUUCGUG